This 76-nucleotide transfer RNA is filed under the name Campylobacterales bacterium. RNAcentral describes it as "tRNA-Met". It matches the Rfam family "tRNA". Rfam says of the family: Transfer RNA (tRNA) molecules are approximately 80 nucleotides in length. RNAcentral also lists the same sequence under 1 other name. Lineage: Bacteria; Pseudomonadati; Campylobacterota; Epsilonproteobacteria; Campylobacterales. The record is from RNAcentral.
CGCGGGAUAGAGCAGUUGGUAGCUCGUCGGGCUCAUAACCCGAAGGUCGAUGGUUCAAGUCCGUCUCCCGCAACCA